AAAGCGCACGCAGGCGGUUUGUUAAGUCAGAUGUGAAAUCCCCGGGCUCAACCUGGGAACUGCAUCUGAUACUGGCAAGCUUGAGUCUCGUAGAGGGGGGUAGAAUUCCAGGUGUAGCGGUGAAAUGCGUAGAGAUCUGGAGGAAUAUCGGUGGCGAAGGCGGCCCCCUGGACGAAGACUGACGCUCAGGUGCGAAAGCGUGGGGAGCAAACAGGAUUAGAUACCCUGGUAGUCCACGCCGUAAACGAUGUCGACUUGGAGGUUGUGCCCUUGAGGCGUGGCUUCCGGAGCUAACGCGUUAAGUCGACCGCCUGGGGAGUACGGCCGCAAGGUUAAAACUCAAAUGAAUUGACGGGGGCCCGCACAAGCGGUGGAGCAUGUGGUUUAAUUCGAUGCAACGCGAAGAACCUUACCUGGUCUUGACAUCCACGGAAGUUUUCAGAGAUGAGAAUGUGCCUUCGGGAACCGUGAGACAGGUGCUGCAUGGCUGUCGUCAGCUCGUGUUGUGAAAUGUUGGGUUAAGUCCCGCAACGAGCGCAACCCUUAUCCUUUGUUGCCAGCGGUC
Molecule: ribosomal RNA, 565 nt
Filed under: Shigella sonnei
Lineage: Bacteria; Pseudomonadati; Pseudomonadota; Gammaproteobacteria; Enterobacterales; Enterobacteriaceae
Description: bacterial SSU rRNA
Rfam family: Bacterial small subunit ribosomal RNA
Source: RNAcentral